RNAcentral lists this ribosomal RNA (501 nucleotides) under uncultured bacterium. RNAcentral describes it as "partial 16S ribosomal RNA". It matches the Rfam family "Bacterial small subunit ribosomal RNA", at positions 30 to 523 of the family's 1533-position model. The record is from RNAcentral.
AUUGAACGCUGGCGGCAGGCUUAACACAUGCAAGUCGAGCGGAGAGAGGUAGCUUGCUACUGAUCUUAGCGGCGGACGGGUGAGUAAUGCUUAGGAAUCUGCCUAUUAGUGGGGGACAACAUUUCGAAAGGAAUGCUAAUACCGCAUACGUCCUACGGGAGAAAGCAGGGGAUCUUCGGACCUUGCGCUAAUAGAUGAGCCUAAGCCGGAUUAGCUAGUUGGUGGAGUAAAGGCCUACCAAGGCGACGAUCUGUAGCGGGUCUGAGAGGAUGAUCCGCCACACUGGGACUGAGACACGGCCCAGACUCCUACGGGAGGCAGCAGUGGGGAAUAUUGGACAAUGGGCGCAAGCCUGAUCCAGCCAUGCCGCGUGUGUGAAGAAGGCCUUAUGGUUGUAAAGCACUUUAAGCGAGGAGGAGGCUACUUUAGAUAAUACCUAGAGAUAGUGGACGUUACUCGCAGAAUAAGCACCGGCUAACUCUGUGCCAGCAGCCGCCGUAA